GAUGAACGCUCGCUACAGGCUUAACACAUGUAAGUCGAGGGGAAACGACAUCGAAAGCUUGCUUUUGAUGGGCGUCGACCGGCGCACGGGUGAGUAACGCGUAUCCAACCUGCCCAUCACUUGGGAAUAACCUUGCGAAAGUAAGACUAAUACCCAAUGACAUCCCACGAAGACAUCUGAAUGGGAUUAAAGAUUUAUCGGUGAUGGAUGGGGAUGCGUCUGAUUAGCUUGUUGGCGGGGUAACGGCCCACCAAGGCAACGAUCAGUAGGGGUUCUGAGAGGAAGGUCCCCCACAUUGGAACUGAGACACGGUCCAAACUCCUACGGGAGGCAGCAGUGAGGAAUAUUGGUCAAUGGGCGAGAGCCUGAACCAGCCAAGUAGCGUGCAGGAUGACGGCCCUAUGGGUUGUAAACUGCUUUUAUAAGGGAAUAAAGUGGGUCUCGUGAGACUUUUUGCAUGUACCUUAUGAAUAAGGACCGGCUAAUUCCGUG
Molecule: ribosomal RNA, 492 nt
Filed under: uncultured bacterium
Lineage: Bacteria
Description: partial 16S ribosomal RNA
Rfam family: Bacterial small subunit ribosomal RNA
Source: RNAcentral